GAUGAACGCUGACAGAAUGCUUAACACAUGCAAGUCGACUCGAGUCUUCGGACUUGGGUGGCGCACGGGUGAGUAACGCGUAAAGAACUUGCCUCUUAGUCUGGGACAACAUCUGGAAACGGAUGCUAAUACCGGAUAUUAUGGUUUUUUCGCAUGGAGGAAUCAUGAAAGCUAGAUGCGCUAAGAGAGAGCUUUGCGUCCCAUUAGCUGGUUGGUGAGGUAACGGCCCACCAAGGCAAUGAUGGGUAGCCGGCCUGAGAGGGUGAACGGCCACAAGGGGACUGAGACACGGCCCUUACUCCUACGGGAGGCAGCAGUGGGGAAUAUUGGACAAUGGACCACAAGUCUGAUCCAGCAAUUCUGUGUGCACGAUGACGUUUUUCGGAAUGUAAAGUGCUUUCAGUCGGGAAGAAGUCAGUGACGGUACCGACAGAAGAAGCGACGGCUAAAUACGUGCCAGCAGCCGCGGUAAUACGUAUGUCGCAAGCGUUAUCCGGAUUUAUUGGGCGUAAAGCGCGUCUAGGCGGCAAGGAAAGUCUGAUGUGAAAAUGCGGAGCUCAACUCCGUAUGGCGUUGGAAACUGCCUUACUAGAGUACUGGAGAGGUAGGCGGAACUACAAGUGUAGAGGUGAAAUUCGUAGAUAUUUAUAGGAAUGCCGAUGGGGAAGCCAGCCUACUGGACAGAUACUGACGCUAAAGCGCGAAAGCGUGGGUAGCAAACAGG
This 724-nucleotide ribosomal RNA is filed under the name uncultured Fusobacterium sp. RNAcentral's name for it is "bacterial SSU rRNA". It matches the Rfam family "Bacterial small subunit ribosomal RNA", at positions 28 to 776 of the family's 1533-position model. The record is from RNAcentral. Lineage: Bacteria; Fusobacteriati; Fusobacteriota; Fusobacteriia; Fusobacteriales; Fusobacteriaceae.